UUAUAGUGAUUAAUAUUACGCGCCGUGCGGUCAUCAAAGCAGCUUAAGGCAGGCGCGUGAAUUGACUCCUGUUCGCUGGUAUUGAAAUUCGAGACUCGAGCAUUUUGCCUAG
Molecule: non-coding RNA, 112 nt
Organism: Caenorhabditis elegans
Lineage: Eukaryota; Metazoa; Nematoda; Chromadorea; Rhabditida; Rhabditidae
Source: Ensembl